AUUGAACGCUGGCGGCAUGCUUUACACAUGCAAGUCGAACGGUAACAGGGUGCUUGCACCGCUGACGAGUGGCGAACGGGUGAGUAAUGCGUCGGAACGUGCCGAGUAGUGGGGGAUAACGCAGCGAAAGUUGUGCUAAUACCGCAUACGUACUGAGGUAGAAAGUGGGGGACCUUCGGGCCUCACGCUAUUCGAGCGGCCGACGUCUGAUUAGCUAGUAGGUGAGGUAAAGGCUCACCUAGGCGACGAUCAGUAGCGGGUCUGAGAGGAUGAUCGGCCAAACUGGGACUGGGACACGGCCCAGACUCCUACGGGAGGAAGCAGUGGGGAAUUUUGGACAAUGGGCGAAAGCCUGAUCCAGCCAUGCCGCGUGUCUGAAGAAGGCCUUCGGGUUGUAAAGGACUUUUGUCAGGGAGGAAAUCCCUAGUGCUAAUAACACUGGGGGAUGACAGUACCUGAAGAAUAAGCACCGGCUAACUACGUGCCAGCAGCCGCCGUAA
Molecule: ribosomal RNA, 500 nt
Filed under: uncultured bacterium
Lineage: Bacteria
Description: partial 16S ribosomal RNA
Rfam family: Bacterial small subunit ribosomal RNA
Source: RNAcentral